Bombus terrestris (buff-tailed bumblebee) is the source of this 2838-nucleotide long non-coding RNA. RefSeq lists it as uncharacterized. NCBI's taxonomy places the organism in Eukaryota, Metazoa, Arthropoda, Insecta, Hymenoptera, Apidae. The transcript is spliced from 4 exons. The record is from RefSeq and is a predicted model, not a curated record.
UUCGAUACAGAAUUUGCAUUUUAUUACUUGUUUUCGUCAUUUUUAAUGGCAACUAGGGAUUAUAAUAAACAGAAUGGCGAAUCGUAGAGCUGGACGAUCGAAACGACGAUUUUCUGGUCGGUCGGUAAGGAGGUAGAAAAAACGCAACCGCAAGUCUUGAUGAUCCGCAGAAACGCAAGGAACUGAACCGUCUCAUGACAAAUACUUAACCACGAUUCAAUUGGUAUAACUAUUAAGAUAACCGCAAAAGGAGAUAAAAGAAACAUGAUAGAAAAUACUUUCACGGUGUUAAUGGAAUUUAUAUAAACGUCGACUACGGUAAUUUUCCAUUUGGAAAAGAAAUUUUCCUAAUUCAUGUAAAUUAAUAAUACUUGUAAAUACUUGGGAGAUCGGUUGGUUUUGUGAAUAAUGUGUUUGAGAUAUUGCACGGAUUAAACGAAUUGUUUCGAGAGAAAGGAAGCAGUUUCUCUGGAAAAAGUAAGGCAAGUGCUAAGUAGGAAAUUAAUUUCCUUCUUCAAUUUUCCCAAUAAUAACAGUUUUCUUUAUUCUUGAAAAAAUGAAUUCUAAAUAAAUUCGAAAUACAUAGGAAUACGCGAAUUUAAAAUAUAAUACCAAUUUUAAACAGGUUUCAUAUAUUUGUAAAAAUUUCUAAUAAAAGAUUCUGCUCUUUUUAUCGGUUAAAAGAGCGAAUUUAAAUUUGAUUUUAGUUCAUAAAUUUUUUUUAACGAAGUACUUUAACAUUUCUGGACAUUCUGAUAUCUUACAUGAUAUCAAGUGAAAACGGAGAAAUUUGUUUUUAUGAAUUUUAAUUUCUGUUAACCAAUUGCAUUUACUAACGCGGAUUUUCGAAGUUUCUAGGCGGAAACUAUGCGCAGCGCAUAGACAACUUAUAAUCAGUGAAUGUAGUCGUCCUUCCAGCUGUGAACUCGGAAAUAUAGAAAAAGUAGUGUGUUACGUUAUGCGUCAUAUGCAUUUGUUAUCUCAAAUCCAUUCGCAUGAUUAACCUCAUCCACUGUUCUCAAAUUCCGAUUUCAACCAUUUAGAUUCGGUUAUAGUUGUAUAAGUAAUUAUAUGAUACUUUAAUGAUAUUUGAAACACUUAUAUUUUUUUUGUGCAUUUAAGGCAAAAAAUGAGAAAAAGAUACAAAAAGAAAAAUAAAACAUAUUUUUAAGAAGAUAAAAUGUGAAAAGUGGCGAGGAUUUUAAAUCGGCACACGUUGGAACAUAGGAUUUACUAAAGUGAUAAUGGAUAAAAUAUGGUGGGAUAAUACCUAGACAUAGAGUGAAAAGAAUUGAUUUCCAAUUUCGGCAACGUUUAAAAUAUAGUGAAGAGAAUAUAAAGGCGACUAAUUAUCCUUAGCGUAUCUAUUAGAUGAGAAAUUUUUGAAGGUUAAAUUUUCCAUUUAUUAUUCAUUCAUAAGUAAGAAGGGUAAUUAAUCAUCCUUGUAAACGCAAGCGAUGAUCUCAGUGCUUUGGAAUGAUCUCAGAAACAUUUAAAAGAAUUUGUUAUUCUAACGAAAAAAUUAUCAUCGUCAUCACCGUCAUUACUGGUAUUGCGUGUGAAAAUAUUUAGAGUGCAACCAUAGUUAACGAACUAUGAACACUCACGAAACGGAUGAUUUCUAAUAAAUACCUACGCUGACUGAACUUCCACGAUAAAUCUUUCUCUCGAAUUUUCCAAACAGAUUUCGCCGUUCGUCUUUUCAAUUUGCGAUUUAAUCACUACUUAAUGUGUUUUUCUUUAAACACAUUAAUUUGAUUUACUUUAUUUACUCUUCUUAAUUAUAAUACCGAGGCAUAAAUUGUUUUUUGUUAAUUAACUCAUAACUAGUUUCUGUUUCAAAUAAUUUAAAAUUACAAAUUUCUCUAUUUCGAAUAAUUUGAUAUUAAAUCAAUUUUAUUUUCAGCAAUUUAUGAAAUACAUUAGAUUCAUUUUCAGAUUCAUAUUCUUCUUUUUCUAAUUGGUAUGCACUCCUACCAAUAUAUACUUAUGAUUUUGUCAAUUACGGGUAAAAUUGAAUUCCGCAUUCUAUUAUAUUUCAAACGCAAACCAAUAUUUGUUGCAUUUAACAAUCAAUUUAAAUAAUACAGUUUUGUGAAUAACAAUACGGCUUUCGAUUGUGCAUUGGCUGUUACACUAGCGUGAAGCUAUUCAAUUUAUCUAUAGAAAAGAUAUCAUAUUCAACAUGGUAAUCAAGAAAUUAAAAUCAAAGAGAAAAUUGAGAAUUGAAAUGUGAUAAUAAAAAUCUUUUUCAACGUUCAAAUAUUACUCCAUUGUUUAUUACAUAAUCUUCUACACAAUUGCAUUACUAUCACUAAAGGCAGAUAAUAAGUCGUCUGAUGGAAGAAUAGUUUUAUUAAAUAAAGGCUUAUUCAAUUUACUCUAUAAUCAUAGAGAGUUCCAAGUUCUGCUUUGCUUAACAAUGCUACAAUAUUGCAGAAGCGUCGUUGCAAUUAUCCGAAAAGUGGGGAAACACUCUUUGUGUUCUUAUUGUUCCAAGCGUCUUCGUUAGCAAUAACAAACUGGUUAUAUUCCGUUUCGACAGAACUAUUUGUCAAACGCAAACUGAAAACAUCGUAUAGAACAAGCAGCUACGAUGAAACUUCCCAACUUCACUGUACCGAAGCCAUCGAUUUUCAUUCAAAAUUGAAGAGUACAUAAAUUCUCAGAUGAAUGAACAUAUUAGUAACCUUAAGGACCAUAAAUGAUAUAUAGUAUAGUUCUAGCUUCAAAAUUGGAACCACAGAUCUCAUAUUGAAGCAACAUACUUUUAGUAAAUAUCACAAAAAAUAUUAAUAUAGAUUGAAGAAAACAAAAAUAUAACAAAAUUCAAUUCAA